UUGUGUGGCCAAAACCUCCUUAUUAAAGCAUAAUCUUGAUCUCAGAAGCUAAGCAGGGCCAGGCCUGGUUAGGACUCGGAUGGGAGAUCACUGGGAAUAUCAGGUGUCACAGUGG
RNAcentral lists this ribosomal RNA (115 nucleotides) under Periophthalmus magnuspinnatus. The record is from RNAcentral. Lineage: Eukaryota; Metazoa; Chordata; Actinopteri; Gobiiformes; Gobiidae.